Molecule: ribosomal RNA, 265 nt
Filed under: uncultured bacterium
Lineage: Bacteria
Description: partial 16S ribosomal RNA
Rfam family: Bacterial small subunit ribosomal RNA
Source: RNAcentral
GUCCACGCCGUAAACGAUGGAUGCUAGCCGUCGGAUAGCUUGCUAUUCGGUGGCGCAGCUAACGCAUUAAGCAUCCCGCCUGGGGAGUACGGCCGCAAGGUUAAAACUCAAAGGAAUUGACGGGGGCCCCGCACAAGCGGUGGAGCAUGUGGUUUAAUUCGACGCAACGCGAAGAACCUUACCAGCUCUUGACAUUCACUGAUCGCCCGGAGAGAUCCGGGAGUUCCAGCAAUGGACAGUGGGACAGGUGCUGCAUGGCUGUCGU